This 450-nucleotide ribosomal RNA is filed under the name uncultured bacterium. RNAcentral describes it as "bacterial SSU rRNA". It matches the Rfam family "Bacterial small subunit ribosomal RNA", at positions 29 to 507 of the family's 1533-position model. The record is from RNAcentral.
AACGAACGCUGGCGGCAGGCUUAACACAUGCAAGUUGAACGGUAUGUAUGGUGCUUGCACUAUGCAGAGAGUAGCGCACUGGUGAGUAACACGUGGAAACAUACCCUUAAGUAAGGAACAACAGUUGGAAACGACUGCUAAUACCAUAUACGCCCUGAGGGGGAAAGAUUUAUUGCUGGAAGAUGAGCUUGCGUCUGAUUAGAUAGUAGGCGGGGUAGCGGCCCACCUAGUCGACGAUCAGUAGCCGGACUGAGAGGUUGAACGGCCACAUUGGAACUGAGAUACGGUCCAGACUCCUACGGGAGGCAGCAGUGGGGAAUAUUGGGCAAUGGGCGAAAGCCUGACCCAGCGACGCCGCGUGAGGGAAGAAGAUCUUCGGAUUGUAAACCUUAGUCAACAGGGAAGAAGAAAGUGACGGUACCUGUGGAGGAAGCCACGGCUAACUACGUG